AUACGUAGGGUGCGAGCGUUAAUCGGAAUUACUGGGCGUAAAGGGUGCGCAGGCGGUUUUAUAAGCCAGAUGUGAAAUCCCCGGGCUCAACCUGGGAACUGCAUUUGGGACUGUAAGACUAGAGUACGGCAGAGGGGGGUAGAAUUCCACGUGUAGCAGUGAAAUGCGUAGAUAUGUGGAGGAAUACCGAUGGCGAAGGCAGCCCCCUGGGUCGAUACUGACGCUCAGGCACGAAAGCGUGGGGAGCAAACAGGAUUAGAAACCCUAGUAGUCC
Molecule: ribosomal RNA, 274 nt
Filed under: uncultured bacterium
Lineage: Bacteria
Description: partial 16S ribosomal RNA
Rfam family: Bacterial small subunit ribosomal RNA
Source: RNAcentral